Molecule: ribosomal RNA, 515 nt
Filed under: uncultured bacterium
Lineage: Bacteria
Description: bacterial SSU rRNA
Rfam family: Bacterial small subunit ribosomal RNA
Source: RNAcentral
UGGCUCAGAACGAACGCUGGCGGCGCGUCUUAAGCAUGCAAGUCGAGCGGCAAGGAAGAAGCUUGCUUUUCCCUAGAGCGGCGGACUGGUGAGUAACGCGUGGGUGACGUACCCUCCGGACGGGGACAGCCUGUGGAAACACAGGAUAAUACCGGAUACGGUGCAUGUUGUCAGAGGACAUGCAGGAAAGGUUCUUUUGAACCGCCGGAGGAGCGGCCCGCGUACUAUUAGCUAGUUGGUGAGGUAACGGCCCACCAAGGCAGUGAUAGUUACCCGGCCUAAGAGGGUGGACGGGCACAUUGGGACUGAGAUACGGCCCAGACUCCUACGGGAGGCAGCAGCUAAGAAUAUUCCGCGAAUGGGGGAAACCCUGACGGAGCGACGCCGCGUGGACGAUGAAGGCCGGAAAGGUUGUAAAGUCCUUUUAUGACUGAAGAAUAAGGAGCAUGAGAGAAACGUGCUCUGGUGACGGUAGGUCAUGAAUAAGCAACGGCUAAUUACGUGCCAGCAGCAGC